CAGUAGCCACGGGAAUACGAAGGGGGCUAGCGUUGCUCGGAAUGACCGGGCGUAAAGGGCGCGUAGGCGGAUGGCACAGUCAGAUGUGAAAUUCCCGGGCUUAACCUGGGGGCUGCAUUUGAUACGUGUUGUCUAGAGUGAGGAAGAGGGUUGUGGAAUUCCCAGUGUAGAGGUGAAAUUCGUAGAUAUUGGGAAGAACACCGGUGGCGAAGGCGGCAACCUGGUCCUUGACUGACGCUGAGGCGCGAAAGCGUGGGGAGCAAACAGGAUUAGAUACCCCCGUAGUCCCUGUCUCUUAUAC
RNAcentral lists this ribosomal RNA (301 nucleotides) under uncultured bacterium. RNAcentral describes it as "partial 16S ribosomal RNA". It matches the Rfam family "Bacterial small subunit ribosomal RNA", at positions 509 to 807 of the family's 1533-position model. The record is from RNAcentral.